Molecule: ribosomal RNA, 400 nt
Filed under: uncultured bacterium
Lineage: Bacteria
Description: bacterial SSU rRNA
Rfam family: Bacterial small subunit ribosomal RNA
Source: RNAcentral
UGAGGAAUUUUGGACAAUGGGCGAAAGCCUGAUCCAGCGACGCCGCGUGAGUGAAGACGGCCUUAGGGUUGUAAAGCUCUUUCAGUGGGGAAGAUAAUGACGGUACCCACAGAAGAAGCCCCGGCUAACUUCGUGCCAGCAGCCGCGGUAAUACGAAGGGGGCUAGCGUUACUCGGAAUUAUUGGGCGUAAAGCGUGCGCAGGCGGUCUAAUAAGUUGGAAGUGAAAGCCCAGGGCUCAACCCUGGAAUUGCUUUCAAAACUGUUAGACUUGAGUACUGAAGGAGAUAGCGGAAUUCCUAGUGUAGAGGUGAAAUUCGUAGAUAUUAGGAGGAACACCGGUGGCGAAAGCGGCUAUCUGGUCAGAUACUGACGCUGUUGCACGAAAGCGUGGGGAGCAAA